UUUAUGGUAGUAUAUUGGUUAGUACGCGCGUCUGUCAUUUAUUUGUUCUUUGUAGUCGCGCGAAAGCUGGGUUCGAUUCCCAAUCAGAGAG
Armillaria fumosa is the source of this 91-nucleotide non-coding RNA. Lineage: Eukaryota; Fungi; Basidiomycota; Agaricomycetes; Agaricales; Physalacriaceae. The record is from the annotation of a GenBank genome assembly.